ACUCCUACGGGAGGCAGCAGUGGGGAAUCUUCCGCAAUGGGCGAAAGCCUGACGGAGCAACGCCGCGUGAGUGAUGAAGGUCUUCGGAUCGUAAAACUCUGUUAUUAGGGAAGAACAAAUGUGUAAGUAACUAUGCACGUCUUGACGGUACCUAAUCAGAAAGCCACGGCUAACUACGUGCCAGCAGCCGCGGUAAUACGUAGGUGGCAAGCGUUAUCCGGAAUUAUUGGGCGUAAAGCGCGCGUAGGCGGUUUUUAAGUCUGAUGUGAAAGCCCACGGCUCAACCGUGGAGGGUCAUUGGAAACUGGAAAACUUGAGUGCAGAAGAGGAAAGUGGAAUUCCAUGUGUAGCGGUGAAAUGCGCAGAGAUAUGGAGGAACACCAGUGGCGAAGGCGACUUUCUGGUCUGUAACUGACGCUGAUGUGCGAAAGCGUGGGGAUCAAACAGGAUUAGAUACCCUGGUAGGAUAGCGU
RNAcentral lists this ribosomal RNA (473 nucleotides) under uncultured bacterium. RNAcentral describes it as "bacterial SSU rRNA". It matches the Rfam family "Bacterial small subunit ribosomal RNA", at positions 335 to 800 of the family's 1533-position model. The record is from RNAcentral.